Molecule: ribosomal RNA, 253 nt
Filed under: uncultured bacterium
Lineage: Bacteria
Description: partial 16S ribosomal RNA
Rfam family: Bacterial small subunit ribosomal RNA
Source: RNAcentral
UACGGAGGGUGCGAGCGUUGUCCGGAAUCAUUGGGCGUAAAGGGCGCGUAGGUGGCCCGGUCAGUUUGUGGUGAAAGCGCGGGGCUCAACUCCGCGUCGGCCAUGAAUACUGCUGGGCUGGAGCACUGUAGAGGCAGGCGGAAUUCCGGGUGUAGCGGUGGAAUGCGUAGAGAUCCGGAAGAACACCGGUGGCGAAGGCGGCCUGCUGGGCAGUUGCUGACACUGAGGUGCGAAAGCGUGGGGAGCAAACAGG